UACGAAGGGGGGCUAGCGUUGCUCGGAAUGACUGGGCGUAAAGGGCGCGUAGGCGGAAUGCUUUGUCGGGCGUGAAAUUCCAGGGCUCAACCUUGGGGGCUGCGUUCGAGACGGGUAUUCUUGAGUUCGGAAGAGGGUCGUGGAAUUCCCAGUGUAGAGGUGAAAUUCGUAGAUAUUGGGAAGAACACCGGUGGCGAAGGCGGCCGACCUGGUCUGACUGACGCUGAGGCGCGAAAGCGUGGGGGAGCAAA
RNAcentral lists this ribosomal RNA (251 nucleotides) under uncultured bacterium. Its description in RNAcentral is "partial 16S ribosomal RNA". It matches the Rfam family "Bacterial small subunit ribosomal RNA", at positions 524 to 772 of the family's 1533-position model. The record is from RNAcentral.